RNAcentral lists this unclassified non-coding RNA (264 nucleotides) under air metagenome. RNAcentral's name for it is "partial contains small subunit ribosomal RNA, internal transcribed spacer 1, and 5.8S ribosomal RNA". The stretch from base 1 to 46 matches the Rfam family "Eukaryotic small subunit ribosomal RNA", at positions 1786 to 1831 of the family's 1831-position model. The record is from RNAcentral.
AAGUCGUAACAAGGUCUCCGUUGGUGAACCAGCGGAGGGAUCAUUAAAAGAGACUAUCUCGCAAACCCAUGUGAAUUUACUUUGUUGCUUCGGCGGACCUACCCUGUAGCUACCCUGUAUCCUACCCUGAAGCAAUUCGGGCAGGUUACCCUGUAGCUACCCUGUAGCGCCGCCGGUGGCCAAAACCAAACUCUUGUUAUUUUUGGACAUCUGAGCGUCUUAUUUAAUAAGUCAAAACUUUCAACAACGGAUCUCUUGGUUCUG